Molecule: ribosomal RNA, 517 nt
Filed under: uncultured archaeon
Lineage: Archaea
Description: bacterial SSU rRNA
Rfam family: Archaeal small subunit ribosomal RNA
Source: RNAcentral
GUAACACGUAGUCAACCUGCCCUGGAGACAUGGACAACCCCGGGAAACUGGGAUUAAUCCGUGAUAGGUCAUCUCAUCUGGAAGGAGAGAUGGCUUAAAGGGGUACGCGGGCUUCUUCUGCGUAUCUGCUCCAGGAUGGGACUGCGUCCGAUCAGGCUGUUGGCGGGGUAAUGGCCCACCAAACCUGUAACCGGUACGGGCCUUGAGAGAGGUGGCCCGGAGAUGGACACUGAGAGAAGGGUCCAGGUCCUACGGGGCGCAGCAGGCGCGAAACCUUCGCAAUGCGCGAAAGCGUGACGAGGUUAAUCCGAGUGGCCCCCGCUGAGGGGGUCUUUUGUCAGCUGUAAAUAGGCAGGCGAAUAAGGGGAGGGCAAGCCUGGUGCCAGCCGCCGCGGUAAUACCAGCUCCUCGAGUGGUCGGGGCGAUUAUUGGGCCUAAAGCAUCCGUAGCCGGUUCCGUAGGUCCUCUGUUAAAUCCAGCCGCUUAACGGUUGACAUGCAGAGGAUACCGCGGGACU